CCUACGGGAGGCAGCAGUGAGGAAUAUUGGACAAUGGGCGCAAGCCUGAUCCAGCCAUGCCGCGUGCGGGAAGAAGCAUCUAUGGUGUGUAAAUUGCUUUUGUACAGGAAGAAACACUCCCUCGUGAGGGAGCUUGACGGUACUGUAAGAAUAAGGACCGGCUAACUCCGUGCCAGCAGCCGCGGUAAUACGGAGGGUCCGAGCGUUAUCCGGAAUCAUUGGGUUUAAAGGGCCGUAGGCGGUUUAAUAAGUCAGUGGUGAAAUCUGGUCGCUCAACGAUCAAACGGCCAUUGAUACUGUUAGACUUGAAUUAUAAAGAAGUAACUAGAAUAUGUAGUGUAGCGGUGAAAUGCUUAGAUAUUACAUGGAAUACCAAUUGCGAAGGCAGGUUACUACUUAUGGAUUGACGCUGAUGGACGAAAGCGUGGGGANCGAACAGGAUUAGAUACCCUGGUAGUCCACGCCGUAAACGAUGGAUACUAGCUGUUCGGUAGACAUCUGAGUGGUGUAGACGAAGUAGAUAAGUAUACCACCUACGGGAGGUACGUUCGUCGAGAAGAGUAAACGUUAAAGUAGUAAGUUAGUACGGACGUGAGACGUAGACCGAACGGACGACGACGAGGGGAGGGUUAGGGAG
This 637-nucleotide ribosomal RNA is filed under the name uncultured bacterium. Its description in RNAcentral is "bacterial SSU rRNA". The stretch from base 1 to 534 matches the Rfam family "Bacterial small subunit ribosomal RNA", at positions 338 to 873 of the family's 1533-position model. The record is from RNAcentral.